GACGUAGGGCGCGAGCGUUGUCCGGAUUUAUUGGGCGUAAAGAGCUCGUAGGCGGCUUGUUGCGUCGACUGUGAAAACCCGCGGCUUAACUGCGGGCUUGCAGUUGAUACGGGCAGGCUAGAGUUCGGUAGGGGAGACUGGAAUUCCUGGUGUAGCGGUGAAAUGCGUAGAUAUCAGGAGGAACACCGGUGGCGAAGGCGCCUAUCUGGCCCGAUACUGACGCUGAGGCGCGAAAGCUAGGGGAGCAAACGGG
This 253-nucleotide ribosomal RNA is filed under the name uncultured bacterium. Its description in RNAcentral is "partial 16S ribosomal RNA". It matches the Rfam family "Bacterial small subunit ribosomal RNA", at positions 524 to 776 of the family's 1533-position model. The record is from RNAcentral.